RNAcentral lists this ribosomal RNA (346 nucleotides) under uncultured fungus. RNAcentral's name for it is "eukaryotic LSU rRNA". The stretch from base 1 to 71 matches the Rfam family "5.8S ribosomal RNA", at positions 84 to 154 of the family's 154-position model. The record is from RNAcentral. Lineage: Eukaryota; Fungi.
GUGAGUCAUCGAGUCUUUGAACGCACCUUGCGCUCUCUGGUAUUCCGGAGAGCAUGCCUGUUUGAGUGUCAUGAACUCUUCAAUCCACCGGUUUCUUGUUAAAUCGGAUGGUGUUUGGAUUUUGAGUGUUGCUGGUCUUCGGACGUAGCUCAUUCGUAAUACAUUAGCAUCUCAAUUUCGAACUUCGGAUUGACUCAGCGUUGAUAGACUAUUCGCUGAGGACACCUUUGGGUGGCCGAAUGAGAAGACAGUAGAAGCUCCUAACAGAUCUUAGUCAAUUUAAAAUUUAGAUCCUCAGAUCAGGCAGGAUUACCCGCUGAACUUAAGCAUAUCAAUAAGCGGAGGU